RNAcentral lists this ribosomal RNA (424 nucleotides) under uncultured bacterium. RNAcentral describes it as "partial 16S ribosomal RNA". It matches the Rfam family "Bacterial small subunit ribosomal RNA", at positions 608 to 1028 of the family's 1533-position model. The record is from RNAcentral.
CUCAACUCCGUGUCCGUAACGGAAACUCACGGGAUAGAGUCAUACAGAGGCAUCUGGAAUUACGUGUGUAGGGGUAAAAUCCGUUGAUCCACGUAGGAACGCCAAAAGCGAAGGCAGGAUGCUGGGUAUGUACUGACGCUCAGGGACGAAAGCGUGGGGAGCGAAGGGGAUUAGAUACCCCCGUAGUCCACGCCCUAAACGAUGCGUGCUCGGUGUUGGGAGUUCAAUCAUUCCCAGUGCCCAAGCUAACGCGGUAAGCACGCCGCCUGAGUAGUACGGCCGCAAGGCUAAAACUUAAAGGAAUUGACGGGGGCCCGCACAAGCGGUGGAGCAUGUGGUAUAAUUCGAAGCAACGCGAAGAACCUUACCUGGGUUUGACAUACACGUGAAAUCCCUGUGAAAGCAGGGCCCUCCUUCGGGACAC